Papaver somniferum (opium poppy) is the source of this 412-nucleotide long non-coding RNA. RefSeq lists it as uncharacterized. NCBI's taxonomy places the organism in Eukaryota, Viridiplantae, Streptophyta, Magnoliopsida, Ranunculales, Papaveraceae. The transcript is spliced from 3 exons. The record is from RefSeq and is a predicted model, not a curated record.
UAAAAAUCGAACUUCCCUUCAUGAGGUUACUCUCCUUCUUCCUGCUUGGUGAUUGAUUUCGAUAUCCUUUACCUAAUGUAAGGUCGAUCAGUUCUUCCUGAAUUGUGGUAUCACUACAUUGCAUCUCAGGAACAUCCAGACUUUAAGCCUUGUGAAAAAUUGGAAAAACCAUCGAGUUUUGUAGCUCGGGCUCAGUAUCUACCUAGAAGCAAAAUUACUUUGGGGAAAAUGUAGUUGUUGUCCCAGGUAUCCUUUCUAGAGUUUCUCUGCCAAUUUCUUUUUGGUCUUUCACUUUUUAUGAGUUUCUCCAUUUCUUUCUGUGAGGACACAAGUCAAGGAGCUUGGAUAGGCCUUGCCAAAAAUAUCUUGUGGGUCCCUUUAACUUUGUUUACACAAAUGCUUUGCUUUACGA